CCUACGGGUGGCUGCAGUCGGGAAUAUUGCGCAAUGGGCGAAACUCUGACGCAGUGACGCCGCGUGCAGGAAGCAGGUUUUCGGAUUGUAAACUGCGUUAGACAGGGAAGCAACAAGACAGUACCUGUACAAUACGCUCCGGCUAACUACGUGGCAGCAGCCGCGGGAAUACGUAGGGAGCAAGCGUUGUCCGGAUUUAUUGGGGGUAAAGGGUGCGUAGACGGGAAGUCAAGUUGGUUGUGAAAUCCCCCGGCUGAAAUGACGAACUGCAACUAAAACUAACUUUCUUGAGUGCGGGAGAGGAAAGUGGAAUGCCUAGUGUAGCGGUGAAAUGCGUAGAUAUCAGGAGGAACACCGGUGGCGAAGGCGACUUUCUGGACCGUAACUGACGUUGAGGCACGAAAGUGUGGGUAGCAAACAGGAUUAGAUACCCCUGUAGUC
This 441-nucleotide ribosomal RNA is filed under the name uncultured bacterium. RNAcentral describes it as "partial 16S ribosomal RNA". It matches the Rfam family "Bacterial small subunit ribosomal RNA", at positions 338 to 795 of the family's 1533-position model. The record is from RNAcentral.